Non-coding RNA from Paramuricea clavata, 343 nucleotides. The record is from the annotation of a GenBank genome assembly. NCBI's taxonomy places the organism in Eukaryota, Metazoa, Cnidaria, Anthozoa, Malacalcyonacea, Plexauridae.
AAUUGUUUUGAUUCAAAUAAUCAAAUUAUUACAGUACUGUUCCAAUUUUGUCUAUCAUUCUUGCAGGGGAUGUCGAUUAAUCGUGAAAGGAAUGCAUUAAAGGCGAAUAAUCGAGGAUAGUUUCGUGUGACAUAUGCCAAGUCUGGGCUAUUUUGGUCUCAAUGUUUCCUUCCUUCCCUUGUUAUAAGGAAGGCACAGGCGGGCGCGGGCAAAUUGAGCCUGGGCCUCCUGUGGUCAGAGAGAUGUUCACUCCUCGACAGUCAACAGUCAAUAAAGUCACGCGCGGAAUUAGGCGCUCAAUACCCAUGAUGCUUUGCGGCCUGCUGUCCAACCUCCUCUGUAU